ACAUUACAGGUGACUGGUCACUCUGGAUACAUUUACAUUAGUUUUUUGUUUAUGUUGGGAAGUCGUCGGAAAAUUCGGCUGUUCUGUGUGUGUGCCGCAAUGAAAAGCUGCUAAAAAGCUAAAUAUAAAAAUCAGCGCAGCGCGCGGCCGUCUGUCGGUGCAUUGUUUUCUAAGUGCAGUCAGUAGGCAGCAGCAAUUUAUGAGGAAAAAUUAUGUGAAGCAGAAACGCAGUUUUUGUUUGUGUGUAUAUGUAUGUACAUUGUGUGCUUCUGUAUGUGUAUUGUGCAAUGAAACUGGAAAACCAUUAUUAUUAAUGAAAACGCGUGAAAUGUACAACGAGAACGACAACGACCAACUCCUCCCACUUGUACGUGUUGUAGGGGUGAAGGGUGUUUGACUGCUGUGUCUGUGCGCUAGUGUGUGUGCAUGUUAGUGUUAGUGCGUGCACGAUAAGGCUUGUAUUUGCGGGCAAUGUAUAAUUAAAUAUAUAUGCAGAGUAAAUGUCAAAGAAAGCGACGUGUAAUAUGCACACACAUUAAUAAGAGCAAAAGGUCAAAAGUUAAGCUGAAAACAGGACCAAGACGCCGUAAUGUUGUAAGUCAGCGACAGCAAUAAGAGAGCGAGAGCGAGAGAGAGAGAGAGCGCAUGCUGGUGUGAGUGUACACGAUAAGAACAAAGAGAAGAGCGAAGAGCACGAAAACCUCGUCUAAGAAACAGCAGCAGAGGAGGGCAAAACAAAAGACUGCUUAAAACUAAUAAACAAACAAAACCAACUCAAAUAAUAACAACCACAAAACAAAUACAAACCGAAAAUGUCGGCCGCGGAGCUUGAGACUGAAAGUUCCGCACAGGAGCAGCAAUCGAAACACCCACAACAACAACAACA
Long non-coding RNA from Drosophila navojoa, 886 nucleotides. The record is from RefSeq and is a predicted model, not a curated record. NCBI's taxonomy places the organism in Eukaryota, Metazoa, Arthropoda, Insecta, Diptera, Drosophilidae.